This 274-nucleotide ribosomal RNA is filed under the name uncultured bacterium. RNAcentral describes it as "partial 16S ribosomal RNA". It matches the Rfam family "Bacterial small subunit ribosomal RNA", at positions 523 to 796 of the family's 1533-position model. The record is from RNAcentral.
AUACGGAGGGUGCAAGCGUUACUCGGAAUCACUGGGCGUAAAGGACGCGUAGGCGGGAUGCCAAGUCUGAUGUGAAAUCCUAUGGCUCAACCAUAGAACUGCAUUGGAAACUGGUAACCUAGAGUAUGGGAGGGGGAGAUGGAAUUAGUGGUGUAGGGGUAAAAUCCGUAGAUAUCACUAGGAAUACCGAAAGCGAAGGCGAUCUCCUGGAACAUUACUGACGCCAAGGCGUGAAAGCGUGGGGAGCAAACAGGAUUAGAAACCCCAGUAGUCC